RNAcentral lists this ribosomal RNA (279 nucleotides) under uncultured bacterium. Its description in RNAcentral is "partial 16S ribosomal RNA". It matches the Rfam family "Bacterial small subunit ribosomal RNA", at positions 506 to 784 of the family's 1533-position model. The record is from RNAcentral.
UGCCAGCAGCCGCGGUAAGACGAAGGUGGCAACCGUUGUUCGGAAUCACUGGGCAUAAAGCGCACGUAGGCGGGAGUUUAAGUCGGGUGUGAAAUCCCUCGGCCCAACCGAGGAACUGCGCCCGAAACUGAAUUUCUUGAGGAUAGGAGGGGAGCAUGGAAUUCCUGGUGGAGCGGUGAAAUGCGUUGAUAUCAGGAGGAACACCGGCGGCGAAGGCGAUGCUCUGGCCUAUUUCUGACGCUGAGGUGCGAAAGCCAGGGGAGCAAACGGGAUUAGAUA